Molecule: ribosomal RNA, 516 nt
Filed under: uncultured Bacteroidota bacterium
Lineage: Bacteria; Pseudomonadati; Bacteroidota
Description: bacterial SSU rRNA
Rfam family: Bacterial small subunit ribosomal RNA
Source: RNAcentral
AGUAGUUUGUCUACGUCGGCUACAGAGUCGAACGCUAGCGGCAGGCUUAACACGAUGCGAAGUCGAGGGGCGAUCGGAGGAAGCUUGCUUCCUUGCCGGCGACCGGCGCACGGGUGAGUACACGUAUGCAACCUGCCCUCCGUUCAGGGGGACGAACCUUCCGAAAGGGAGGCUAAUCCCGCGUAUAUCGUUUCGGGCAUCCGAGAUCGAGGAAAGAUUCAUCGGAAGAGGAUGGGCAUGCGGCGCAUUAGCUUGACGGCGGGGUAACGGCCCACCGUGGCGACGAUGCGUAGGGGUUCUGAGAGGAAGGUCCCCCACACUGGUACUGAGACACGGACCAGACUCCUACGGGAGGCAGCAGUGAGGAAUAUUGGUCAAUGGGAGAGAUCCUGAUCCAGCCAAGCCGCGUGAGGGAAGACGGCCCUAUGGGUUGUAAACCUCUUUUGUCGGAGAACAAAACCCGGGACGUGUCCCGGACUGCGUGUAUCCGAAGAAAAAGCAUCGGCUAACUCCGUG